GAAAGGAGGAGACUUUUAGAGAGAGAGUAGGGGAUGGGAAGUGUAGGAGAAAUUGAGGAAAUAGAGAAGUGGGUUUCACCAGCUGCAGCCAAAAGAUCAAUGCCUAUUCUGUCUUUAAACCAUGUCUCAUUUGUUUGCAAAUCUGUUCCUGAAUCUGUAAGGUUCUAUGAGGAUGUUUUAGGAUUUGUACUCAUCAAAAGACCUUCUUCCUUCAAUUUUGAAGGAGCUUGGUUGUUCAACUAUGGAGUUGGCAUUCAUUUGCUUGAAUCAGAUAAAGUCCCAUCAAAGAAAGGUGCAAUCAA
Molecule: unclassified non-coding RNA, 302 nt
Filed under: Hevea brasiliensis (rubber tree)
Lineage: Eukaryota; Viridiplantae; Streptophyta; Magnoliopsida; Malpighiales; Euphorbiaceae
Source: RNAcentral